ACUCCUACGGGAGGCAGCAGUGGGGAAUUUUGGACAAUGGGCGCAAGCCUGAUCCAGCCAUGCCGCGUGAGUGAAGAAGGCCUUCGGGUUGUAAAGCUCUUUCGGACGGAAAGAAAUCGCGCAGGUAAAUAAUCUGCGUGGAUGACGGUACCGUAAGAAGAAGCACCGGCUAACUACGUGCCAGCAGCCGCGGUAAUACGUAGGGUGCGAGCGUUAAUCGGAAUUACUGGGCGUAAAGCGUGCGCAGGCGGUUUUGUAAGACAGGUGUGAAAUCCCCGGGCUUAACCUGGGAAUGGCGCUUGUGACUGCAAGACUCGAGUGCGGCAGAGGGGGGUGGAAUUCCACGUGUAGCAGUGAAAUGCGUAGAGAUGUGGAGGAACACCGAUGGCGAAGGCAGCCCCCUGGGUCGACACUGACGCUCAUGCACGAAAGCGUGGGGAGCAAACAGGAUUAGAUACCCUGGUAGUCCACGCCCUAAACGAUGCCAACUAGGUGUUGGGGAAGGAGACUUCCUUAGUACCGAAGCUAACGCGUGAAGUUGGCCGCCUGGGGAGUACGGUCGCAAGAUUAAAACUUAAAGGAAUUGACG
RNAcentral lists this ribosomal RNA (589 nucleotides) under uncultured beta proteobacterium. RNAcentral describes it as "bacterial SSU rRNA". It matches the Rfam family "Bacterial small subunit ribosomal RNA", at positions 335 to 915 of the family's 1533-position model. The record is from RNAcentral. Lineage: Bacteria; Pseudomonadati; Pseudomonadota; Betaproteobacteria.